CUCCGAAAGGGUAUCGGAGGCGCCCAAAGGUUCCCUCAGAAUGGACGGAAACCAUUCGAAGAGUGCAAAGGCAGAAGGGAGCUUGACUGCGACACCGACGGGUGGAGCAGGUACGAAAGUAGGGCUUAGUGAUCCGGUGGUAUUAAGUGGGAAUGCCAUCGCUCAACGGAUAAAAGCUACCCUGGGGAUAACAGGCUUAUCACUCCCAAGAGUUCACAUCGACGGAGUGGUUUGGCACCUCGAUGUCGGCUCAUCGCAUCCUGGGGCUGUAGUAGGUCCCAAGGGUUGGGCUGUUCGCCCAUUAAAGCGGUACGCGAGCUGGGUUCAGAACGUCGUGAGACAGUUCGGUCCCUAUCCGGCGUGGGCGUAGGAUAUCUGAGAGGAGCUGUCCUUAGUACGAGAGGACCGGGAUGGACGGGCCGCUGGUGCAUCGGUUAGACUGCCAAGUCUACGGCCGAGUAGCCAAGCCCGGAAGGGAUAAACGCUGAAGGCAUCUAAGCGUGAAGCCCCCCUUAAGAUGAGAUAUCCCAUUCGAAAGAAGUAAACCCCCUUGAAGACGACGAGGUAGAUAGGGCAGAGGUGGAAGUG
RNAcentral lists this ribosomal RNA (588 nucleotides) under Ruminococcus sp. AF41-9. RNAcentral describes it as "partial 23S ribosomal RNA". It matches the Rfam family "Bacterial large subunit ribosomal RNA", at positions 2287 to 2875 of the family's 2925-position model. Lineage: Bacteria; Bacillati; Bacillota; Clostridia; Eubacteriales; Oscillospiraceae. The record is from RNAcentral.